CCAGUGUUGAGGAGAAGCAAGGCAAGCCACUCUGGGUCGUGGCCCUUGCUACAUCUCAGUCCAGGCGAGGCAUCCAGCUCGAGAAGCUAGUUGCUAGGAAGUCACGCUGGACCAGGAAUCCACGGUUGCUGAAGAACACUUUGGAAUGUCCCCAGCAUCUUGCAAAGCCCUUCACUUCUGGAAUUUUGGGGACACCGGAACCUUGCCAAGGGAAGCAGUCUUGAAG
This 226-nucleotide long non-coding RNA is filed under the name Rattus norvegicus (Norway rat). RNAcentral describes it as "long non-coding RNA NONRATT033212". Lineage: Eukaryota; Metazoa; Chordata; Mammalia; Rodentia; Muridae. The record is from RNAcentral.